AAUUUCAAAAUUUAUAUAAUUGUUUUAUAAUUUGCCUAAUAUCGCCUGUCCUUAUAUUUUCUCAAUAUCGCCAUAAACCAAUUUAAAGGCCAAAAUGGGUUUUAAUAAUUAAUUUUUUAUUUACCCGGAUUUCCGCUAAAUAACAGCGGGUAAAAGGGCCCGAAAAUACCCCUAAUAUUAUAACCGGGACGGUACCAGGGAAAAAAGGUAGAAUUUUGCCGACAAAACCCAGGAUUUUAUAAGGAUGGAAUCGGGUAACUUUACGUAAUUACCAAGGUAUAAUAUCGAAUAAUUUUGUAAAAUUAAAACUAACGCCAAAAGCAAAUUACGUCAAAUAAUUUGUAAAAAUUAAAAAAAAUCACAUUUGGGCCCCAGGUUAAAUAAACAAAUUUAUUACCGUAUAAAUAAAUUUACUUUUAGAAUUAACCUCGAUAUUUACUAUAUUUAAAACCGAUUGUAAUUUUACCCCAAUUAUCGAAAAUUUCCAAUUUUAAUAUUAACGUUUAUUUGUUUUUAACAAUCGUAUUUUUACCUUUAAAAAUAAAUUACCCCGAUAUUUUUAUCGUAAUACCGAAACCUACGUAAAAUUACGCGAAAUUAUUAUAAAUAAAUUUGAAUAUAUUGGUUACAUUUCGGAAUAAUUUAAUAUUUUCGAUUUACAAUAUUCCAGGUUAUUUUGUAUCGAAAAGGGGAAUGGUAUGUCUAAAUUUAAAAUUCGCUUCCUUAUUAUGCAAAAAAUGCGAAUAAAUAUAGAAAUGUUAUUUUGCAAACGUUUUUACAAUGUUUUAGGGGUUUGGUGGGUUUAUUUCCGCUUAAUUUUUAUAUUAAUCCCAAAAAUUUCCUCAAAUGGUAAUAGUUUCGUAAUAAACAAAACUAAUUGCCUAUUUAAAGUAUAUAAUACGAACACUAUGGGUAACGACGGAUUUCAAUCCCUGGCCUUCCGAAGGCUGCGGUUCUUUGCUUUAAAAAACGUGGUCCGAUAAACAAUUAAUUUUAAUCCUUUCCCCAAUUGUUUCACUGCUUUAAAAAUCGGUAAAGGAGAGUUAUUUUGGUAACGGCUAACUCGAGUUUUAACAAACGUUAAUUAAUAAAUAGCUUUUAUCGGGUUGUGCGGCGUUUGAAAGACUUAAAAUUCGGUGGUGGGAAAAAUAGGCUUUUUGGGUGAAGGCGUCCGUAUUUUGAUAUCCAGUUUGGAAAUUACGGCUUCCGGGUUAUAAAAGAUAAAUCCAGCUCCCCUAAAACCCCCAACCAUAUUGUUUUUUGUUAUAAAAAUUUCGUACGCCGUUAUAAAAACCAAAAAAAAACUCGAUUUUACUAAUGUUAUUAAUAUGGGUUCGGAUAAAAUUGUUAAUUUUUUAUCCGUACGCCCGUUUCAGGACACCGAAUAUUCUAACGUUAAAUGGUUGGGUUAGGUAAAACGAAUAAAUAGGCAAAUAAAUUGAAAUUAUAUUAUUAUUUUUGCAAUAGCUUUUAAAUUCGGGUAAUUAAUAAUUACCGUGCCCGUCGAAUACCAACAUCCGAUAUGCGCCUUUUAUCCGCGAUUAUAUAUAAUUAUCGAAAUAUUAAAUCCAUUCCAAACCUAUUUCGUUAUUUGUCCAUCCAUUUUGGCUAAUUUUUAUAUUUUAAAAUAUUGGAAAACCGCCAUUUAUAUACUAAUUUGCGAAAUGGUAAACGUUUUUAACGAUAAAAAAUGGGGGUAUAUUAUAACCGUCGCUAUUAAUGCAACAAAUUGCAAUCGCCCAUUUUCGAUUACCAGGUUGUAUUUUUUUAUUUUUUCCGCGUUUUUCGGACCCAAUUACAAUUAUAUAUCCGCAAAUUUGGCCUAUUAUAAAACCGGUUUUGUCGAAAUUAUAAAUGUCGCAAUUUUAAAUACCGUAUUUGGUUUUUAUAUUGGCCACCAAUCGAAACCACGCGUUUAACGCGUUAGGAUUUUCGCACAAAACCCUUUAAAAAUCGCAAACGCGAAAAAAACACGUUUUGAAUUUUGUGCGUCGUUGGAUAAAAUAAUUUACCUAUCGCGUCCCAAUUGGUUGCGCGUUCCGCGUUAUAAACAAAUGGUCGAUUAUUGCGGCCAUAUCGGCAAUUUAAAGCGGAAAUCCUCGGAAAUUUAAAUCCAAUAUAUAUUGGACAAUUAUUUCCUUUUCGCUUUCCGUUAAUUUUAAACGUCCGGAACGAUAAUUGGCGAAAAUAAUAACGCCUUUUAUUUUAUCGCGGAAUGUCGAUUCGGGUAUAUUAUAUGUUUUAACAGCGGUUUUUCGGCCUAAUUUAUUCGACGAUUGGACAGUUUUAAUAGCCAAAAAUAUUUGGGACUUUUUUAUAUUAAUUGGCAUUUUGUAUUGUGGAAAUAAUAUGUGGUUAAAUU
RNAcentral lists this small RNA (2362 nucleotides) under Pyricularia oryzae. RNAcentral's name for it is "Magnaporthe oryzae sRNA M_BR32_EuGene_00146441". Lineage: Eukaryota; Fungi; Ascomycota; Sordariomycetes; Magnaporthales; Pyriculariaceae. The record is from RNAcentral.